This 249-nucleotide ribosomal RNA is filed under the name uncultured organism. RNAcentral describes it as "partial 16S ribosomal RNA". It matches the Rfam family "Bacterial small subunit ribosomal RNA", at positions 355 to 596 of the family's 1533-position model. The record is from RNAcentral.
UGGGGAAUCUUGCGCAAUGGGCGAAAGCCUGACGCAGCAACGCCGCGUGCGGGAUGAAGGCCUUCGGGUUGUAAAGCACUUUUGGCAGGAAAGAAAUCGCGCAAAUUAAUACUUUGCGUGGAUGACGGUACCUGCAGAAUAAGCACCGGCUAACUCCGUGCCAGCAGCCGCGGUAAUACGGAGGGUGCAAGCGUUCUCCGGAUUCACUGGGCGUAAAGGGUGCGUAGGCUGUGUUGUAAGUCAGAUGUG